RNAcentral lists this ribosomal RNA (253 nucleotides) under uncultured bacterium. RNAcentral's name for it is "partial 16S ribosomal RNA". It matches the Rfam family "Bacterial small subunit ribosomal RNA", at positions 524 to 776 of the family's 1533-position model. The record is from RNAcentral.
UACGUAGGGUGCAAGCGUUAAUCGGAAUUACUGGGCGUAAAGCGUGCGCAGGCGGUUGUGCAAGGCAGAUGUGAAAUCCCCGGGCUCAACCUGGGAACUGCAUUUGUGACUGCACGGCUGGAGUGCGGCAGAGGGGGAUGGAAUUCCGCGUGUAGCAGUGAAAUGCGUAGAUAUGCGGAGGAACACCGAUGGCGAAGGCAAUCCCAUGGGCCUGCACUGACGCUCAUGCACGAAAGCGUGGGGAGCAAACAGG